RNAcentral lists this ribosomal RNA (497 nucleotides) under uncultured bacterium. RNAcentral describes it as "partial 16S ribosomal RNA". It matches the Rfam family "Bacterial small subunit ribosomal RNA", at positions 28 to 507 of the family's 1533-position model. The record is from RNAcentral.
GAUGAACGCUGGCGGCGUGCCUAAUACAUGCAAGUCGAGCGAACAGACGAGGAGCUUGCUCCUCUGACGUUAGCGGCGGACGGGUGAGUAACACGUGGAUAACCUACCUAUAAGACUGGGAUAACUUCGGGAAACCGGAGCUAAUACCGGAUAAUAUAUUGAACCGCAUGGUUCAAUAGUGAAAGACGGUUUUGCUGUCACUUAUAGAUGGAUCCGCGCCGCAUUAGCUAGUUGGUAAGGUAACGGCUUACCAAGGCAACGAUGCGUAGCCGACCUGAGAGGGUGAUCGGCCACACUGGAACUGGGACACGGUCCAGACUCCUACGGGAGGCAGCAGUAGGGAACCUUCCGCAAUGGGCGAAAGCCUGACGGAGCAACGCCGCGUGAGUGAUGAAGGUCUUCGGACCGUAAAACUCUGUUAUUAGGGAAGAACAAAUGUGUAAGUAACUAUGCACGUCUUGACGGUACCUAAUCAGAAAGCCACGGCUAACUACGUG